This 991-nucleotide ribosomal RNA is filed under the name uncultured Bacteroidales bacterium. Its description in RNAcentral is "bacterial SSU rRNA". It matches the Rfam family "Bacterial small subunit ribosomal RNA", at positions 358 to 1351 of the family's 1533-position model. The record is from RNAcentral. Lineage: Bacteria; Pseudomonadati; Bacteroidota; Bacteroidia; Bacteroidales.
GGAAUAUUGGUCAAUGGGCGGAAGCCUGAACCAGCCAAGUCGCGUGAAGGACGACAGCCCUAUGGGUUGUAAACUUCUUUAGCAGGUGAAUAAAAGGGGGCAUGUAUGCCCCUUUGCAGGUAGCCUGAGAAUAAGCAUCGGCUAACUCCGUGCCAGCAGCCGCGGUAAUACGGAGGAUGCAAGCGUUAUCCGGAUUUAUUGGGUUUAAAGGGUGCGUAGGCGGAUUAGCAAGUCAGCGGUGAAAUUCAGGAGCUCAACUCCUGCCGUGCCGUUGAAACUGUUGGUCUAGAGUACAAAGGAAGUAAGCGGAAUUCGCGGUGUAGCGGUGAAAUGCAUAGAUAUCGCGAAGAAUUCCGAUAGCGAAGGCAGCUUACUACGCUGUAACUGACGCUGAAGCACGAAAGCGUGGGGAUCAAACAGGAUUAGAUACCCUGGUAGUCCACGCAGUAAACGAUGAUUACUCGCCGUUUGCGAUAUACGGUAAGCGGCCAAGCGAAAGCGUUAAGUAAUCCACCUGGGGAGUACGCCGGCAACGGUGAAACUCAAAGGAAUUGACGGGGGCCCGCACAAGCGGAGGAACAUGUGGUUUAAUUCGAUGAUACGCGAGGAACCUUACCCGGGCUUGAACGGCAGAGGGAUACGGAUGAAAGUUCGUAGCCGGCAACGGUCUCUGUCGAGGUGCUGCAUGGUUGUCGUCAGCUCGUGCCGUGAGGUGUCGGCUUAAGUGCCAUAACGAGCGCAACCCUUAUCGCCAGUUACUAACGGGUAACGCUGAGGACUCUGGCGAGACUGCCAUCGUAAGAUGUGAGGAAGGCAGGGAUGACGUCAAAUCAGCACGGCCCUUACGUCCGGGGCGACACACGUGUUACAAUGGGUGGGACAGCGGGCCGCCACUUGGCAACAAGGCGCCAAUCCCCAAACCCACUCCCAGUUCGGAUCGGAGUCUGCAACCCGACUCCGUGAAGCUGGAUUCGCUAGUAAUCGCGCAUCA